GAUCGAUGGCUACAGGACGAACGCUGGCGGCGUGCCUAACACAUGCAAGUCGAACGGAGAUACGAUUUCGGUUGUAUCUUAGUGGCGAACGGGUGAGUAACGCGUGAGCAACCUGACCUUUAGAGGGGGAUAACACUUGGAAACAGGUGCUAAUACCGCAUAAGACCACGACCCGACAUCGGGAUGAGGUCAAAGGAGUAAUCCGCUAGAGGAGGGGCUCGCGUCCCAUUAGAUAGAUGGCGGGGCAACGGCCCACCAUGUCGACGAUGGGUAGCCGAGCUGAGAGGCUGAUCGGCCACACUGGAACUGAGACACGGUCCAGACUCCUACGGGAGGCAGCAGUGGGGAAUAUUGGGCAAUGGGCGCAAGCCUGACCCAGCAACGCCGCGUGAGGGAAGAAGGCCUUCGGGUUGUAAACCUCUGUCCUUGGUGACGAAAAAAAUGACGGUAGCCAAGGAGGAAGCCCCGGCUAACUACGUG
RNAcentral lists this ribosomal RNA (480 nucleotides) under uncultured bacterium. RNAcentral's name for it is "bacterial SSU rRNA". It matches the Rfam family "Bacterial small subunit ribosomal RNA", at positions 26 to 507 of the family's 1533-position model. The record is from RNAcentral.